AUUGAACGCUGGCGGAAUGCUUUACACAUGCAAGUCGAGCGGCAGCGCGGGGCAACCUGGCGGCGAGCGGCGAACGGGUGAGUAACACAUCGGAACGUGCCCUAUCGUGGGGGAUAACGAAUCGAAAGAUUCGCUAAUACCGCAUACGACCUGAGGGUGAAAGCGGGGGAUCGCAAGACCUCGCGCGAUUGGAGCGGCCGAUGUCGGAUUAGCUAGUUGGUGAGGUAAAGGCUCACCAAGGCGACGAUCCGUAGCUGGUCUGAGAGGACGACCAGCCACACUGGGACUGAGACACGGCCCAGACUCCUACGGGAGGCAGCAGUGGGGAAUUUUGGACAAUGGGGGCAACCCUGAUCCAGCCAUUCCGCGUGAGUGAAGAAGGCCUUCGGGUUGUAAAGCUCUUUCGGCAGGAACGAAACGGUGGAGGCUAAUACCUUUCAUCAAUGACGGUACCUGAAGAAGAAGCACCGGCUAACUACGUGCCAGCAGCCGCGGUAAUACGUAGGGUGCGAGCGUUAAUCGGAAUUACUGGGCGUAAAGCGUGCGCAGGCGGCUUUGUAAGACAGGUGUGAAAUCCCCGGGCUUAAUCUGGGAACUGCGCUUGUGACUGCAAGGCUUGAGUGUGGCAGAGGGGGGUGGAAUUCCACGUGUAGCAGUGAAAUGCGUAGAGAUGUGGAGGAACACCGAUGGCGAAGGCAGCCCCCUGGGUCAACACUGACGCUCAUGCACGAAAGCGUGGGUAGCAAACAGGAUUAGAUACCCUGGUAGUCCACGCCCUAAACGAUGCCAACUAGGUGUUGGGGAAGGAGACUUCCUUAGUACCGUAGCUAACGCGUGAAGUUGGCCGCCUGGGGAGUACGGUCGCAAGAUUAA
RNAcentral lists this ribosomal RNA (873 nucleotides) under uncultured beta proteobacterium. RNAcentral's name for it is "bacterial SSU rRNA". It matches the Rfam family "Bacterial small subunit ribosomal RNA", at positions 28 to 897 of the family's 1533-position model. Lineage: Bacteria; Pseudomonadati; Pseudomonadota; Betaproteobacteria. The record is from RNAcentral.